AUGAACGCUGGCGGCGUGCCUAAUACAUGCAAGUCGAGCGAACAGACGAGGAGCUUGCUCCUCUGACGUUAGCGGCGGACGGGUGAGUAACCCGUGGAUAACCUACCUAUAAGACUGGGAUAACUUCGGGAAACCGGAGCUAAUACCGGAUAAUAUAUUGAACCGCAUGGUUCAAUAGUGAAAGACGGUUUUGCUGUCACUUAUAGAUGGAUCCGCGCCGCAUUAGCUAGUUGGUAAGGUAACGGCUUACCAAGGCGACGAUGCGUAGCCGACCUGAGAGGGUGAUCGGCCACACUGGAACUGAGACACGGUCCAGACUCCUACGGGAGGCAGCAGUAGGGAAUCUUCCGCAAUGGGCGAAAGCUUGACGGAGCAACGCCGCGUGAGUGAUGAAGGUCUUCGGAUCGUAAAACUCUGUUAUUAGGGAAGAACAAAUGUGUAAGUAACUAUGCACGUCUUGACGGUACCUAAUCAGAAAGCCACGGCUAACUACGUG
This 496-nucleotide ribosomal RNA is filed under the name uncultured bacterium. Its description in RNAcentral is "partial 16S ribosomal RNA". It matches the Rfam family "Bacterial small subunit ribosomal RNA", at positions 29 to 507 of the family's 1533-position model. The record is from RNAcentral.